ACACAGCCCCCGAGUGAGCCUGCGUGCCGAGCAGCCAAACCCGGAGCAGCAGAUUGUGGUGUGUCUCAGGAGGACAGGACCACGUAUUUCAGAUUCUGAAAAAUGUUGGCUUGUCUUAGGGCAACCCAUUAUUUCAAGCGUUCUCUGUGGAUGGAGAGCUGUUCAAGCUGACACUUUAAGAAUGUCCUCGUACAUUCUUCAAGUAACUUUUCAUGAAACUGCAGUCCUGUGCGCAUAUAGUGACCCACAGAAAUUAAUUUCUAGCAAGAUAGUAAACAAAUAAAAAGCAGACAAGUUAGAGCAAACUGUCAUCACAUUUACACUUGAACUUAGUUUGACAGGAGCAGUUUAGCUGAAACAACAGAAUAUUCACUGGCAGGUUAAUAUUGAGUUCGUGACCUUGUAUCAUUGAGAGCAGGAAGCCACCUUAAUUUUCAGCCAUCAAAUUUCAGCCAUCAAGUUUGCGAUACUGCUUUUGAUCUUGUGGUGUAUGGUGUCACUCAGCACAAUGUUGCAUUAAGGUGCUAAAAUGGUGGGGUUGUCACUUGAGUGGAAUGUGCAUGACCAGCGAUUUGUUACUUUGGUUAUGGUCGGUGACAGCUAUUGGACUCAGAUCUGCUGUACUCCUUCUAGCACGUUAAUUUGUGUCUCCUGAUGCUGGUUGUUAGAUGCAUCUGCUCUCUUGGGUCUGAUUGUACAGACUUCAGUAGUGCUCCUAUUCACUUGCUCAGGUUGCCUCUUCCCUUUUGUCUCCUGAAAAUUAAGAACCCUGCAUUUUGUCAAAAUGUCCAUAUUACAGAUAUGAUGGGAUGUUUUCAGAGUCACUGUAGAUGACUAUGCACAGAAACCAGUCGUGUUUCCAAGAAUACAGCCUAUUACAGUCAUUAACUUUUCUUGGCUACUACCCAGUGUAAAAUGGUUUGAGACGCAUCCCUCUUCAUGUACCUGCUGUCACCUGGUUGUGACAGACUCUCGAACAGCUUUCCUUUCUCCCAGUCAUUUCUCACUGAAGUGCAUGUCCUGCUUGCAUGAGGUUUGAUUGUGUAAGCUUGAUACAACUACUAGUUCAUCAAUAAGUGAAAUGGGAUAAUAACAAAGAAUAUCAGCAAUAAUCCUAGACCAUAGACAUAGGGGGAUCUGCUCUGUUUUCUCUGUAGUUACAGUCAUGAAAAUAUAUGUGCUCUGGAAUAAUUUAUUUUCUGAAUAAAAUCUCAGAGUAUGAUUUAAAAAGAGUUGGAAUCCUGAGAUUCAAGUGUUACAAUGCUAAAAUUACAGAUACGGGGUUCUUAGAGUACUCCAAACUUCAGUGCUUGGUACCCUGGCUUUUUAUCCAUUAGGGUCCAAUACUUUGGGACAGGUGUCAUCUCCUGAUGAGCCAGAAACUAUCCAAGGUCAGCAACCGAAAGAGAUUUUUCAGAGAGCAACCUCCUUGGGAUAUCUAACAACAGGUGUUGGAAGUCUGGUUCCCAUCUCAAAGACAGAGCUUUUGUGUUCUCAAUUCAGGGCUGAGCCAUUUGCCCUGGAGAUGGAUCCUGUUGUCCAAAGCUGUAUUAUAUAACUCACCUCAGUGCAUGUUUUUAAAUUACAUUCUGGUAACAGCUCUGCCUCUGUCUUGCACUGUUGACCUCUGCAUUUUUUUUUUCUGGCGCUGUGAAAGUUUAAGUACAUCACUUUAUUUUGAAAACAUAAGCAUUUUAAGGUAGAUGAAAAGUUUGGAAUCCAGACCUAUCGAGAAAUGUGGUGGGUAGGGAUUUUUGAUACAACUCCAGGCCAUCUGCUAAAUAGCAGCAAAUAAUUAAUUUUGCUGACUUGACUUGUCUGAGAUAACAUCAUUUCAGAGCCUCAAGACUGCUUGUGUUUCCACUCUUUCAUCCCAUCACUGUGUUUUUGUUUUUGUGGUGGUUUCUGGUGAUUUUCAUCAGUUGUUAUGACUGUACAUAGCCCUUGGCACCCACGUUCUCCUGCCCGUCUGCUGCUGUAACUUUCUCUAUGUUCCUCCUCAGUACACUCACUCUUACAUCACUCCGUGUGCCCCUUUUCCCCUACAGUUUUAGCCCACUUAUCAUGCUUGUUCAAUAGCAGACAGCUUCAGAAGUCUGGACACAAAGCAAUGCAUGAUUUGGUGGAAUUGAUCCACUCUCUCCAGGAACAGACCCUGUACAAAAACACACUUCCUCCUCCAAAAACCCUCUAAUAAAAAUUACGACUGACAAGAAUUGUACAAUUAUUUUCAAGCUUGUUUUGACAAAGCCAUGUUCAUUUGCUUAUCUUCAAAGAGCUUUGCCACUUAAUUGGAAUAUGAUAGGUGGGAAUUCCACCCCAUGCUGGGCAGCUCAGAUGAAGUCUGGAUAACUGGAGAGCAACCAGCAUUCAGCAUGACCACCUGCUUCUUAUUUCCUCUGACUUUCAUUCAUAUUUUUUGGUGCCUUCCUUCCACAAAACUUCUCAAAUUAGUCUGUCUGUAUUUCCUUCCCUCCAAAAAGCUGCAGUUAACAAUUUGCUGCCUUCUCAUAUUUGGGUAAUUUUACAGUUUUACGUUACCAGCUGAAUGGUGCUACGCUAAAGUGCUCUCAACUUGUUCCCACUAAGGAGUUUGCCAAUAACACCCACUUUUUGUUAUGCUUAAUGCCAUCACUUUGCUUAUCAGUGCCCAAAGGCAAACACAAAGAAAAGGUGACGCAAUUUCCGAUUAAAGAAUCACUGUAUAUUAAUAUAUCAUUCUUAAAAUACUCUAACAAUACCUCUAUGUGUGCAUUUUGUUGGCAGUUUUGUCCUCCUGGAAGAAUUAAUCAUUUUUUCCUGGACCAAACUACUGUGCUUCUGACAUGCACUGUCCCACUGAGCUGUGUAUCUGCCAAAGUGAAAUCCUGGAUAAAUAAAUGGAAUCUUUCAGUUCUGCCUGAACAAGACUUGUGCUGAUUUAGAGAGUCUGUCUGGAAAAACACAGCUGCAUAGCAGCCAAAGAGAUACAUCACUGCCCUCACAGGCUGGGUUUGGAGCAUUCAGUCAGUGCUUCAUCAUGAUGGACAUGUUCACUGUUUUUGAUGUUUGCUUUUUGAAAACCAGUUUGUGCUUUUCUUCAGCUGCCAGAAGCAAGCCUGCAGUCAUAGCACGGAUGUAAACAACCACAGAGUACUGAAGAAGAGCAGAGCAGACAGCCUUGAUGCUGAGCAGGGGCCAGUGCCGCUGUGUCCUGAGCAGCCCCUUCCCAGUGCAGGCACACCACUGCCACAGGCAGCGCCGCGUCCCCAGCCCAGAGCUGCCAGGUACCCACCCACCCACCUAUCUAUGACUGACUGGAAGUUUUGCAACACACUUUGACGAGUGCAAAAAAAAAUAUCCAUGCUCAAUUUAAUUCUUCCUUCAGCUCUGAUAAAAUUGGUUACAGUAAGUAAUAGUUGGGUGCUGAAUUAAUUUUUGCCCUCUCAAGUUCAGUACUUUAAAAUAUGUCAAAAGACAUGUUGCUAUUUGCUGCACAGUUUGAAGUGAUCCUGGAAACAUUGGCUUCUGUUGCUGCUUUUCAAAUCCUAAACUUCAAUGGCUAAUUCAAGCUUUAAAAACUCAAAGACUAACAGAUGUGUAUGGAAUUUUUUUGAAGAAAAAAAUCCAUCAGAAAAAAAUCAGAAAUUGAAGUCUACCAUUUGAAGUCUGUUAGAAAGAAUUUGAAGUUGAUAAAACACAAAUUAACUUUUGCUGUCAGUACUUACAGCAACAUCAUUUCAAGACAGAGAGACCCAAAAUGAAAAAUCUUAUUUAUAAAAAUGAAACCAGAUUCCACUGUCGGGGAAUGCAAACUAAAUAGCAGGAGUUAAAGGAAAACCAGGUAGAUUUUGGUGGUAGAUAGCCACCACAACUUCCAGGUACUGGGCAGAGCACUUACUAUCACCGGCAUCUUGCCCUGUCCGUGAAACAGAAGAAAGGUAGUGCAAAUCCCUUGUUAGCCUCUGUUUCUAUUUUCAGACCAGCUCUUCUGCUUUAGAUUCACAUUAUUAAUGGGCCCUCUGGGGCACAGACAUCCAGAAAUUAAGCUUUGCUAUACCCAGAAGGCCAAGAGCACUGCCAGGAGUUGGCACCUGAUUUAGACUCAUGGUGACGAGGCUCAGUUUAAGAUUCAGAGUGAUCUCUUCUGCCCAAGGCAGAGAGGUCUCUGUCUCAGGGUGGCUUUCUACUGAGUGGACCAAGCCACUUUUAGGCUGGGUCCCAGAGAGAUGUGAAGGUCAGACUGAAGAUGUUCAAAGUCAAGUUAAGAUGUGCUAAAUAACAAAAAUGGCCUUCUUGUGCCGACAGUGAUCUUGCUGCUGUGUUGCAGGCUACUGAGGUAUAUCUGAGGCUCAUGCACUUAGCUUUUUUCUUUGGAAAGUAAAGCAGAUCCAUGAAUUCCCCAACAGCCAGGGUAAAUAAGUCCUCUUCUUUUUUUAACACAGCUACCUCAAAUGAAAACAUGCUACAGUUUUCUUGAUUUCUCUGGCCACUGCCAGACACAAGGAAAGCGCCACAUACGUAUUGCUGAAUUUGGUUUUGCCUCACUGGAUUUUUAUGGAUGGUUACCCUCAAAACACAAACUAUUAAUAGGCCUGUGUCUGAAUGCUCGACCACGUGAGACUUCAUCUGUUACAUUCAGGCUGUGUUUUGAUAGAUUGUUAUUCCAUUAACUAAAAAUCCUUGGGCUAUGAAGGAUAUAAAACAGUCCUACAACCACUUGCCCUAAAGCUAAUAUUUAAAUAUCACAGGGAAAAAUUGAGUAGUCCAUUAGAGGAAUGGGAAAGGAAUUACAUCAUAGGCAAUGAGAAGGAAAUAUAUAUGAAUUCUAGCAGUAUAAACCAAUGUAAAACAAAAGUUUUUUGAGCUGAGAUUUGUUUAAUUGAUGCUAACAACACUACAGAUUAUUUAAAUAGAUUUUGUAACUCUGUUGUUGUUACAGAGAUUAAAUUACACUAAGAUAAUAAUGUAGUUUUGGGGUAAUUUACAUAACAAAUAAGGCUCCUAAAAUUUCAGUUUUCUGCAUAUCCUUUUUAAUGGGAACAAAUUCCAAAACAAUUUCAAUUUUAGAAGCAAUUUGUGAAGCUGUCCAGUGAUCAUUGCUCCUGCUCUAAAUUCCCAGGCAAAAAUUAGCCAGUUUCUUUUAUUUUCACUCAUGCACACAAAAAUUCUUGCUUGCAACAUCAAAUCAACCUCUUCUGCCUUAUCUGGUUUAUAGUGCAGAAUAAACCAAUUUAAAUUAAGUGAUUCAUGAUUUUAAUUAACAAGCAAGAAAUUUUGAUGUGACUAUCAGUUUUUAACUUGCAUUACACAUCUUUAUAAUUUGAUUUGAAGAAAGUUUAGCAUUGUUUGUUGGAAACUUUGUAAUACAAAUUUCACCUAAAUAUAGUCAAUGCUAAAUGGGGUUUGUUUUUUUCCCACCUAUGUACCCACACACAUUCGUGUAUACAGCUCUUGCUUGGUAUACAUAUAUUCAUGUUCUAAUUUUUUUUUACUCUGUUGAUAUUUAAUACCAAAGAAAUAAUU
This is a long non-coding RNA of Corvus hawaiiensis (hawaiian crow), 5505 nucleotides long. RefSeq lists it as uncharacterized. NCBI's taxonomy places the organism in Eukaryota, Metazoa, Chordata, Aves, Passeriformes, Corvidae. The record is from RefSeq and is a predicted model, not a curated record. The transcript has 3 exons.